Molecule: long non-coding RNA, 1525 nt
Organism: Lolium perenne
Lineage: Eukaryota; Viridiplantae; Streptophyta; Magnoliopsida; Poales; Poaceae
Source: RefSeq, a predicted model, not a curated record
AUCGUACCUGUAUGUGCCAUAAAAUUCAAGGAACAUGCAAAAGAAUUAGCAGUAAGACCUGGAAUAGUAUAAUUGCUUGACUUCUGUCCUUCCAGCACUUGAAUUUGCUAUUUCUUUUACAGAUACAACAUGUAUGUUCGCAGAGUUCAAUUCUAAAAAUUAUUUAUUAUAUAUAUUUUCUCAGUCCUGUUCAUUUUUAUAUUUGUAGUGAGUCACUAAGUUUAACAUUCUUGGUGAUUAGACUUUAUUUUGUCUUACGUCUUUUGUAGAUUUACCUACCCCUUGAUUGCUUUGUCUAGUAUAAUACAAUUGUUUGUGUUAGUGUUUAUCUUGGUACAACCAGUCCACCAAACAUACGUGAUAAAAUCACAAAUUAAGUUAUAUCACUAAUUAAAGAUUACAUCAACACAUGGGUCUGGUCGGUAAGACCAUCAAUUGGAUGGUGGUAAAGGUAAUUGAUUAUUUGAUUGAUCUUAAUAGAAAUGAUUAAAUGUAACAAGUAUUUGUGGUAAGUGAUCUCUCAAUUGUUGUACCUUUCAUAAAAGCUGGUUGUUGCUGCCCCAUGGAUGAUAAUAUCGAUCUCUUCACACAGGUCCUCGAGUCUGGAGCUAUCGAGGCCGAAGUCACGAGUCCCCACGUCUCCAGCGAGAGGAACUAUCUUCUCUUUGAUGAGCUUCUGGAAGCCAGCAAGCCCAUGCUUCUCUCGAAGGGUGUUGAACAGAUCCUUCCCCAGUACCUGCACGCAGGAAAUUAUGACCAAUUGACUAAAUGACUACCAAGGAGGUUAGUAACUACCAACUACACUUGUAAGGUUUGACCCUUUCAUAUGUGGCAUGACAUUUGUAGCUGUGGACUGCUGUGACACGGUUUUGACUUACCUGGGACAGGAUACGCUGCUCGGCGGAGGCUGCAUCCGGUGCGCGCACCAAUAGGUAGAGCUUCUUCACGUCCGGCUGAACCCUCAGUAUCUUCUCCACCAGCACUGCAUGUAUACGUGAAUGCAGGUAAGGAAUUUAUGUAAAUGUACACAUGCAGCAUAUAUCUAUCUUUUGUACAUAUAUAGUCAUACAUUUUCCGAGGAACCCAGUUGAGCCGGUGACGAGAAUGGUCUUGUCCCGGAAACACCCAGCCACCGCAACAGCGUCCAUGGCGAGCUACCGUGAUAUGUGGAUCGAGAUUGAUGAACCUGAAUAUAUCGGAGAUGUUGGUUUUUCUUGGAAGCUAGAGAAAUGGAGUCAAGCCAGCCAGGACGUGGCUGUGCUUUUGCUGGGGGUAGCUUAAUUAGGACCUUUGGAUGCAUGGCUGCUACAUAUAGUGGACUGAGAAGCUACGUGGAUUAGCAUUUUGGUUGGGCUUUGAGCUGUACUCAGACAAGAGACAAGUUUACGUCACUAUUGGAAUGAGUGAGAGAAUGAAGGCCUCCCUCUAGACAGGUGCCUGUCUAUGUCGUGCACUUUAUAGAGUGUAUUAUCAUGGGGACUCGUGGAGGUUCCAGAUCAAGCUCCCAGUUUGUGCCAACUGCCAA